Anopheles merus is the source of this 1915-nucleotide long non-coding RNA. RefSeq lists it as uncharacterized. Lineage: Eukaryota; Metazoa; Arthropoda; Insecta; Diptera; Culicidae. The record is from RefSeq and is a predicted model, not a curated record. The transcript is spliced from 2 exons.
CACCGGCAGUCACCGCCAUCACAGUUUUCCACCACUAUUCCCGGCUCAGCAACAACAGCCCACCUUGCGGAAGGAAGCACAAAAAUCGGUUGCGCCAUUUAUAUAUUUCUGUGUGUGAGCAAUAUUCCCGUGUUGUGUGACCUUGCAAUGGCAGCAGGAGGAAUGGGGAGUGAUGGGAGGAAGAGGAGAGGAGGCUUUUCCACGAAGUAUAGGCGCGCAAUUUGCUCCAAUCUAAUUUACGUGGCACACACACACACACACUGCCAGUGCUUGUGGCAUUCCCUCGCACACUUACAGCCUGUUGUAACCAGCUUUUGGUUAGAGCGAGAGGGAGCCGGGCAUUCCUGGUGGAAAAAUGGGUUCUCCAAAAAAAAAAACCCUCCCCAAAAAGGGUGGGAUGAAGUAUAGUUUUUCCCUUAGUUUGUUGGCGUUUUUCGUGGAAAUGCUUAACACGAAGAUGGUUGUGGCGCUCAACGAGAAGAGGGUUUGUGUGGAGCAACAGCGGAGAAGGAGGGUCAUGGACGUGUGUGUAAAAAUAAAUCCCCCCCCCCAUCCCACUGCUUUGGGGGGAAGAUUUUGUCACAUUUUUCUGUUGUGUGUGUGUGUGCCGCUCUGUGGCCGUUGACGUGUGCGAUAAAGUGCUGCUUCUGCGCGGCACCGUAUCAUCCCACUCCCGUUCCCUGGAGGUGGUGCCACCUCACCCCGCCUUCCUCGCGCCUACCCUCGACACUUGGCUCGACAUUCAAUUCGGAUAAGUUCAAGGCCACGGGUGCGACACAGCCCCGAGCGAGAGAGAGAGAGAGAGAGAGAGAGAGAGAGAGAAAGAGGCAGAAAACAGAAGCAGGUUGAGUGAGUGUAUCGUUUGAUGGGGUCGAGCAUCAUCUGGGCGGCGAUGAGUGCACCCCAUACACACCCUCGCACCCGGGUGAUGGAACUCGUAGAAAUGCGCCACAAUAAUUAAAAUCAAACUGUUUGGCGUAAAACACACACACACACACACAGAUUUUUCCUUCGAUCUGCCUGCCGCCGAUGCGCGCUUCCCGGUUUUGUUUUAUCGCCCUUUGCUGCGAAACAUGCUGAGUGGCUAAUAAUGGCGGGUAGCAGCAGCGCGCACAUGGAUGGAGUCGCAAAGAUGGAGGUCACGAGCAAUGGCCGCGCGAGCUCGCUGCGUGCGAGAGAGCGAGUACGCGCCAUUGUGUACGCCGGUGUCUCCUCCAUCAUCAUAGCCGCCUCGAUCGUCAUCAUCAUCAUCAUCGUCGUGCGGCUCGAUUAAAACCUUCAACGUGUGUGUGUGGGUGACAUUGAUAAAAAAACUCCGUUCGUCGCCUCGCACACGCGCGCGCUCGCUCUCUCUCGCUCUGAAUGUACUGCGCGCUGUACGCUUCCCGGUUGAACGCUCUCGAUGGCCGGCUCAGCGCGCUCACAUCGUCGCUCACCAGCCGGCACUCACCAGCGCACACGCUGGUGGAGGCGCCCCAAAGCCCCAACGGGGACCGCACCGCUGCCAGUGAGCGACGAGCCGUUGAACCGGGCUGCUGCGAAAAAGGAGAGCAAAAGCGCGCGUGCCUCGCGUGUGUGUGUGUGUGUGGGCGCAUUUUUAGUGGCCCCUCCGUGUUUUAGUAGAGCGCUGCCCGCUUUUGCUGCUUUAUACUCGUGUGGGGAAGCGUGCAACAACGGCCGUUUGCGGUAGAAGAAAAGCAUAUCGUUGUGGCGUUGCAAAUGAGCGGUGAAGUGUGUGCAAAAAGUUUUAGCGAAGUGUGUUCGAGCAGGGCGACGGAAAAAAACAUGUGUUUCAGUGUUCUUACAAAUAGUUCUAGCAGUGUUCUUUAAUAGUUUCCAUUUUUCCCCUCUUCUAAAAGCAGUAGUAACCACGUGAUACACAAAUGAAAAGUAAGAAACAAGAUUAGUAAAAUAU